GCGUAAGCGCGCGUAGGCGGUUUUUUAAGUCUGAUGUGAAAGCCCACGGCUCAACCGUGGAGGGUCAUUGGAAACUGGAAAACUUGAGUGCAGAAGAGGAAAGUGGAAUUCCAUGUGUAGCGGUGAAAUGCGCAGAGAUAUGGAGGAACACCAGUGGCGAAGGCGACUUUCUGGUCUGUAACUGACGCUGAUGUGCGAAAGCGUGGGGAUCAAACAAGAUUAUAUACCCUGGUACCCCCCCCCGUAAACGAUGAGUGCUAAGUGUUAGGGGCUUCCCCCCCC
This 282-nucleotide ribosomal RNA is filed under the name Staphylococcus sp. p97_G04. Its description in RNAcentral is "partial 16S ribosomal RNA". It matches the Rfam family "Bacterial small subunit ribosomal RNA", at positions 563 to 840 of the family's 1533-position model. Lineage: Bacteria; Bacillati; Bacillota; Bacilli; Caryophanales; Staphylococcaceae. The record is from RNAcentral.